Talpa occidentalis (Iberian mole) is the source of this 1614-nucleotide long non-coding RNA. RefSeq lists it as uncharacterized. The record is from RefSeq and is a predicted model, not a curated record. The transcript is spliced from 3 exons. Lineage: Eukaryota; Metazoa; Chordata; Mammalia; Eulipotyphla; Talpidae.
GGGCUCAUCUUUGUGGGUGGGUGGUUUGUGUCCCGGACACUCCCUAUAGCAGUCUGACAGUAAGACCAAAGUACAAUAGUGAGUCAAGGUCUUUUAAGAGAGAACCCAGAGGAGAGUCCGCGGGAAUGGAGAGAGCAGAUCCCAUCACAGAUGAGUGCCUGGAAGAGCCUGAAGUGGGGGCAGCCAUGGGCAUGACCCCAGCCAUAAUGAGCCUGGAAUGUUGCAGAAGCUCUUGAGUUUGAGGUCCAGUUGGUUUGCAGCAGCCUCUGCUCAUCAAGUGGAAAUCCAUCUCAUCCCUCCUGGUAUGAAAGAGACUGAGAUGCUUCUCAAGGCAACAACUGGGACCAGAUGACAAAUGUGACUUGAGUGUUCGUCUGAAUGCCAGAUGUGUGCCUGAGGACACGAAGAGAAUCUGGCUGCUCUGAAAAAUACCAGAAGACACUUUUGUCUCCUGAAUAUUUUUUUUCCCUCUCACUAAAUAAUUUUUUGCACUACUAACUAAUGUCACUAGUCAUUAUCUCCAGAAGACCACAGUUGAAUGCUACUGGGGAAGUGUGUUGCACGAACUCAUCUCCUUUCCUUGCACAGAGUGAUGUGGGUAACAGUUUCCUAGGCUUCCUUCCACCCCCUCAGCCCUGUGACCUUAGCUCAUGGUCUCAAUCUCCUUUGACCCCUGCUCCCAGUUCUCUUCCCCAUGCAGGUGUAUUUCAUCUGUCAGCAUUCACUGUUGAGCCUGACAACUGUGUUUCCCCGAGAAAUAUCUAUAUACUUUUUCUUUUUUUAAAAUUUUAUAUAUAUUUUAUAAAAUUCUUCAUUUUUGUACAAUGUGUGAUUUCUCCUCUCAGUUGUGUGUAGUCCCUGUGAAAUUCCCACCAUCAACUCACCCAUGCACCAUCACCAUAGUCCCUUGUGCUCGUCCCACCUGUUUUGAUCCCUGUCUCUCCCCCUCCCCUGCAGAAUGUCCCUGAUUUAUGUUGAUUUUGAUUUUGUAAUUUAUUAUAAUUACUUUUUUCCCCCUUGAUACUUAUUUGGUUCCUCUAUAUUCUUCCUUUAAGUGAAACCAUCUGAUAUUUUUCUUUUUCUUUCUGGCUUAUUUCACUGAGCAUAAUCCCUUCCAGUUCCAUCCAUGUUGCUGUGAAUGGCAUGAGUUUAUCUUUUUUGAUUGCCAAGUAAUAUUCCAUUGUGUAUAUGUACCACAUCUUCUUGAUCCAGUCAUUUAUUUUUUGGCAUUUGGGUUGUUUCCAUAGCUUACCUAUUGUAAAAAGUGUUGCAAUAAUCAUAGGGGUGCAAGUGUCCUUCUGAAUUAAUGUUUUUGUGUCCUCUGGGUAGAUACCUAGUAGUGGAAUUGCUGGAUCAUAUGGAAGCUCCAUUUUUAAUAGUUUGAAGAACCUCCAGACAGCUUUCCAUAGUGGUUGGACCAGUUUGCUUUCCUACCAGCAGUGCAGUAGAGUUCCUUUUUCUCCACAUCCUCACCAAUAUUUGUUGUUGCUAGUUUUUUUUUUUUUAAAUAUGUGCCAUUCUUACUAGUGUAAGAUGGUAUCUCAUUGUGGUUUUGACUUGCAUUUCCCUGAUUAAAAGUGAUGUUGAACAUUUUUUCAUAUGCCACUUGGCCAU